ACGCGGCGAAACGAAUAUCCCACAUCAGAAAAAUGGGGAUCAUCCCUCCGAAGGACGGGGGGAAUACAGCAAGACGCCAAAAGAGAAGGAGACCCGCGGGCACGGAGAACGGCGGAGAAUGAACUGCGCACGUGGGCUUAAAUAGGACGCUGAGCAGCUCCUGAUGCAAAACAGCUGCGACCACUCAACUCAUCACCUGCCUGCCUUAAGGAGAUCCUGGACCAACAUUCAACGCCAGUUCGUGUCCACUGAUGGAAUCCAUUACCAUGAGUGGUCGUCUGAGUCUGCUCCAUUUCCGGAUCCCAGCCUAGUCAUUAUCUCCUGUUAAGUCAAGAACCUCUGCUGAUCCUCCUGUCAAGCCACGAGCCACGGUCGAAACCACCAGUGACUUCACGAGCCGCAGCAAUCCUCCAUCUUCGUAGUGGUUUCUUGUCGGAGUCAUCUGCUUCGCCUACUAUCUACUGAAUCACGAUCUGAAUAUUAAAUUCUUUUCUACUCGCCUCAGAACUCACCUGUGUCUCCUUCGGGUUCCAGCGUUUGGGUCUGUUUAUUUCCUCUAGUCAUGACAACGAGGAGUAUAUUUGUAUAAACUACUUUUGUAUUGGAAGCUAAACUUUAUUUUUUGCCAUAUUUGUUUGCGUUUCUUUCUGGACCUGAUGGAAGAGUGAAGUUUAUGUGUGUGUGUGUGUAUGUGUAGGUGGGGGCGCAUGGGCUGGAUAAUGAAUAAACAAACCAAAGAGGAAAACAAUAGAGAAUAUUAUCACAUGUUUGUGCAGUUUCAAUAUAUAGUGUUAUAUAAGAAACAUUGACAUUCUUUAAAAAAUUUGGUUAUAAAAACAC
RNAcentral lists this long non-coding RNA (840 nucleotides) under Oryzias sinensis (Chinese medaka). RNAcentral's name for it is "lncRNA (ENSOSIG00000005925.1)". Lineage: Eukaryota; Metazoa; Chordata; Actinopteri; Beloniformes; Adrianichthyidae. The record is from RNAcentral.